This 492-nucleotide ribosomal RNA is filed under the name uncultured bacterium. RNAcentral's name for it is "partial 16S ribosomal RNA". It matches the Rfam family "Bacterial small subunit ribosomal RNA", at positions 29 to 507 of the family's 1533-position model. The record is from RNAcentral.
AGUGAACGCUGGCGGUAGGCCUAACACAUGCAAGUCGAACGGCAGCACAGUAAGAGCUUGCUCUUACGGGUGGCGAGUGGCGGACGGGUGAGGAAUACAUCGGAAGCUACUUUUUCGUGGGGGAUAACGUAGGGAAACUUACGCUAAUACCGCAUACGACCUACGGGUGAAAGCAGGGGAUCUUCGGACCUUGCGCGAGUGAAUGAGCCGAUGUCGGAUUAGCUAGUUGGCGGGGUAAAGGCCCACCAAGGCGACGAUCCGUAGCUGGUCUGAGAGGAUGAUCAGCCACACUGGAACUGAGACACGGUCCAGACUCCUACGGGAGGCAGCAGUGGGGAAUAUUGGACAAUGGGCGAAAGCCUGAUCCAGCCAUACCGCGUGUGUGAAGAAGGCCUUCGGGUUGUAAAGCCCUUUUGUUGGGAAAGAAAAGCAGCAGGUUAAUACCACGCUUUUCUGACGGUACCCAAAGAAUAAGCACCGGCUAACUUCGUG